AUCGCCCGGGAACUACGAGCAAAGCUUAAAACCCAAAGGACUUGACGGUACCCCACAUCCACCUAGAGGAGCCUGUCCUAUAAUCGAUAACCCCCGUUUAACCUCACCAUUUUUAGCCUAUCAGCCUGUAUACCUCCGUCGUCAGCUUACCCCGUGAGUGACCCUCAGUGAGCUUAAUGCCCAUACGCCAACACGUCAGGUCAAGGUGCAGCAGAUAAAGUGGAAAGAGAUGGGCUACACUCUCUACUCUAGAAAAUACGGAAGACUAUUUAUGAAACCUAGUCAGAAGGCGGAUUUAGUAGUAAAAAGAGACAAGAGUGCUCUUUUUAACAUGGCACUGGGGUGUGUACACACCGCCCGUCACCCUCUUCAAAGCUAAUAUAUAGUCCUUGACACAUUUAAGCACUACAGAAGAGGCAAGUCGUAACAUGGUAAGUAUACCGGAAGGUGUGCUUGGAAA
Molecule: ribosomal RNA, 460 nt
Filed under: Osteocephalus castaneicola
Lineage: Eukaryota; Metazoa; Chordata; Amphibia; Anura; Hylidae
Description: partial 12S ribosomal RNA
Rfam family: Bacterial small subunit ribosomal RNA
Source: RNAcentral